AGAGUUUGAUCAUGGCUCAGAACGAACGCUGGCGGCAUGCCUAACACAUGCAAGUCGAACGUGAUCCGGGCUUCGGCCUGGUGAAAGUGGCAGACGGGUGAGUAACGCGUGGGAACCUGCCCUGUGGUAGGGAAUAACUGCGGGAAACUGCGGCUAAUACCCUAUAAGCCUGAGGGAGAAAGAUUUAUCGCCAUAGGAGG
This 200-nucleotide ribosomal RNA is filed under the name uncultured bacterium. RNAcentral describes it as "partial 16S ribosomal RNA". It matches the Rfam family "Bacterial small subunit ribosomal RNA", at positions 8 to 227 of the family's 1533-position model. The record is from RNAcentral.